AUUCCAGCUCCAAUAGCGUAUAUUAAAGUUGUUGCAGUUGAAAAGCUCGUAGUUGAACUUUUGGUAGGAGCGACCUGGCCUUGGGCGCAUGCCCUUGUUUGCCGUGUGUCGUAUCUGGCCAUCCUUUUCUUCUUCGGAAGGAAUCAUUUACUGUGAGUAAACUGGAGUGCUCAAAUCAAGACGUUUGUUUGGUACAUUAAAGCAUGGAAUAAUAAGAUAGGACCUGGUUACUAUUUUGUUGGUUUGCAUAGCUAGGUAAUGAUUAACAGGGACAGUUGGGGGUAUUCGUAUUUAAUAGUCAGAGGUGAAAUUCUUGGAUUUAUGAAAGACGAACGACUGCGAAAGCAUUUACCAAGGAUGUUUUCAUCG
RNAcentral lists this ribosomal RNA (369 nucleotides) under Thraustochytrium sp. Its description in RNAcentral is "partial small subunit ribosomal RNA". It matches the Rfam family "Eukaryotic small subunit ribosomal RNA", at positions 582 to 975 of the family's 1831-position model. The record is from RNAcentral. Lineage: Eukaryota; Bigyra; Thraustochytrida; Thraustochytriidae.